GCUGGGUGUGGUGGUGCACACCUGUAAUCCCAGCUACUUGGAAGGCUGAGGCAGAAGAAUUGCUUGAACCCAGGGGGCAGAGGUUUCCGUGAGCCGAGAUCAUGCCAUUGCACUCCAGCCUGGGUGACAGAGCAAGACUCUGUCUCAA
Molecule: small RNA, 148 nt
Filed under: Pongo abelii (Sumatran orangutan)
Lineage: Eukaryota; Metazoa; Chordata; Mammalia; Primates; Hominidae
Description: Metazoan signal recognition particle RNA (ENSPPYG00000036448.1)
Source: Rfam by way of RNAcentral